Molecule: ribosomal RNA, 468 nt
Filed under: uncultured bacterium
Lineage: Bacteria
Description: partial 16S ribosomal RNA
Rfam family: Bacterial small subunit ribosomal RNA
Source: RNAcentral
GACGAACGCUGGCGGCGUGCUUAACACAUGCAAGUCGAACGGUGAAGCUCCAGCUUGCUGGAGUGGAUCAGUGGCGAACGGGUGAGUAACACGUGAGCAACCUGCCCCAGACUCUGGAAUAAGCGCUGGAAACGGCGUCUAAUACUGGAUACGAGAUCAAGCCGCAUGGUUAUGGUCUGGAAAGUUUUUCGGUUUGGGAUGGGCUCGCGGCCUAUCAGCUUGUUGGUGAGGUAAUGGCUCACCAAGGCGACGACGGGUAGCCGGCCUGAGAGGGCGACCGGCCACACUGGGGCUGAGACACGGCCCAGACUCCUACGGGAGGCAGCAGUGGGGAAUAUUGCACAAUGGGCGAAAGCCUGAUGCAGCGACGCCGCGUGAGGGAUGACGGCCUUCGGGUUGUAAACCUCUUUCAGCAGGGAAGAAGCGAAAGUGACGGUACCUGCAGAAGAAGCACCGGCUAACUACGUG